UGAGGAAUAUUGGUCAAUGGGCGGAAGCCUGAACCAGCCAUGCCGCGUGAAGGACUAAGGCCCUAUGGGUCGUAAACUUCUUUAGACGCAGAGCAAUAAGGGUCUCGCGAGAUCCGAUGAGAGUAUGCGUAGAAUAAGCAUCGGCUAACUCCGUGCCAGCAGCCGCGGUAAUACGGGGGAUGCGAGCGUUAUCCGGAUUUAUUGGGUUUAAAGGGAGCGUAGGCGGAGAGAUAAGUCAGCGGUAAAAUCGUGCGGCUCAACCGUACCUCGCCGUUGAUACUGUUUUUCUUGAGUGCACACAGGGAUGCUGGAAUUCGUCGUGUAGCGGUGAAAUGCUUAGAUAUGACGAAGAACUCCGAUCGCGAAGGCAGGUGUCCGGGGUGCAACUGACGCUGAGGCUCGAAAGUGCGGGUAUCAAACAGGAUUAGAUACCCUGGUAGU
This 441-nucleotide ribosomal RNA is filed under the name uncultured Paraprevotella sp. RNAcentral describes it as "bacterial SSU rRNA". It matches the Rfam family "Bacterial small subunit ribosomal RNA", at positions 355 to 794 of the family's 1533-position model. The record is from RNAcentral. Lineage: Bacteria; Pseudomonadati; Bacteroidota; Bacteroidia; Bacteroidales; Prevotellaceae.